GCCCUCGUAGCUCAGGGGAUAGAGCAUCGGCCUCCGGAGCCGUGUGCGCAGGUUCGAAUCCUGCCGAGGGCG
RNAcentral lists this transfer RNA (72 nucleotides) under Aquihabitans sp. RNAcentral's name for it is "tRNA-Arg". It matches the Rfam family "tRNA". Rfam says of the family: Transfer RNA (tRNA) molecules are approximately 80 nucleotides in length. Their secondary structure includes four short double-helical elements and three loops (D, anti-codon, and T loops). Lineage: Bacteria; Bacillati; Actinomycetota; Acidimicrobiia; Acidimicrobiales; Iamiaceae. RNAcentral also lists the same sequence under 15 other names. The record is from RNAcentral.